This 737-nucleotide long non-coding RNA is filed under the name Olea europaea subsp. europaea. The record is from RNAcentral. Lineage: Eukaryota; Viridiplantae; Streptophyta; Magnoliopsida; Lamiales; Oleaceae.
UUACAUGUGAUGCGAACACAUGCACAUCAAUAAACAACAAAUCAAGAUGUGACAAAGGCUUACGUUUGAACAUCAUCAACUUGAGUAGACUCUCUCUCUCUCUCUCUCUCUCUCUCUCUCUCUCUCUCUCUCGACAUGUAUAUAUAUGCACUUGUGCCUCUAGAUUCUUGACAUGCUAUUUCCCCCAACUUCUUUGCGGACAAUGUAUUCCUGGAAAUUCUUCUUGUGCUUUACAUUGCUGUUAGUAAUGCUAGUCAAGUUAGAAGCUCGGCCCGAUGAAUCCUUCAAAAAGAGAAUGAAGUUAACUGAAUAUUUCGAAGAAAUUAUGGAGAGAAAAGAAGUGUUUGAGGUAGGAAAUGAUGGAGACAGCGGUGUGGAAAGCCGUUAUAAUCCCAUGAGGUAUAUUCCAGAAGGACCAGACCCUAAACAUCACUGAUGCUAUGAUGAUCAGGAUAAGGAAACUUGCGGGCUAUCAUCAUUGAUUAGUAAAUUAUAUGCAUGUAAUAUUAAUUUGUUUACUCCAAUCUUAAUGUGCACGAUAUGUGCUAAACUUUCGAGCAUUUCUGUCAAUUUCUUGGUUGACAUCAUUGCAUGUUCUUUUUCUUCUUUGCUAUUUAUAAAUUGUUCUACCCGCUUUAUAUUCGUACUUUAAGUUGACUUAUUUUUUUCGUUUGCGUAGCUGAGCAUAUUUUCAAGAUAACUAUACAAGUAGCUUAUUCCAAACACACGUUAAUUUG